CAUGCCGCGUGUGUGAAGAAGGCCCUAGGGUUGUAAAGUCCUUUCGUUGGUGAAGAUAAUGACGGUAACCAAAGAAGAAGCCCCGGCUAAUUUCGUGCCAGCAGCCGCGGUAAUACGAAGGGGGCUAGCGUUGUUCGGAAUUACUGGGCGUAAAGCGCACGUAGGCGGAUCAGUCAGUCAGAGGUGAAAUCCCGGAGCUCAACUUCGGAACUGCCUUUGAUACUGCUGAUCUGGAGUUCAUGAGAGGUGUGUGGAAUUCCGAGUGUAGAGGUGA
RNAcentral lists this ribosomal RNA (274 nucleotides) under Gambierdiscus australes. Its description in RNAcentral is "partial Bacterial small subunit ribosomal RNA". It matches the Rfam family "Bacterial small subunit ribosomal RNA", at positions 393 to 684 of the family's 1533-position model. The record is from RNAcentral. Lineage: Eukaryota; Dinophyceae; Gonyaulacales; Pyrocystaceae.